Molecule: microRNA precursor, 59 nt
Filed under: Dasypus novemcinctus (nine-banded armadillo)
Lineage: Eukaryota; Metazoa; Chordata; Mammalia; Cingulata; Dasypodidae
Description: miRNA (ENSDNOG00000030482.1)
Source: RNAcentral
GGGUGACCAAAGUCCUGGCUUGCCUGGGACUGAGGGGUUCCCCAGAAUGUGGGAUUUCU